GAUGAACGCUGGCGGCGUGCUUAACACAUGCAAGUCGAGCGGAGUUAUUUCAAGGAAGUUUUCGGAUGGAAUUGAAAUAACUUAGCGGCGGACGGGUGAGUAACGCGUGGGUAACCUGCCUCAUACAGGCGGAUAACAGUCGGAAACGACUGCUAAUACCGCAUAAGCGCACAGUGCUGCAUAGCACAGUGUGAAAAACACCGGUGGGAUGAGAUGGACCCGCGUCUGAUUAGGUAGUUGGUGGGGUAACGGCCCACCAAGCCGACGAUCAGUAGCCGGCCUGAGAGGGUGACCGGCCACAUUGGGACUGAGACACGGCCCCAACUCCUACGGGAGGCAGCAGUGGGGAAUAUUGGACAAUGGGGGAAAGCCUGAUCCAGCGACGCCGCGUGAGUGAAGAAGUAUUUCGGUAUGUAAAGCUCUAUCAGCGGGGAAGAAAAUGACGGUACCUGACUAAGAAGCCCCGGCUAACUACGUGCCAGCCGCCGCAGUAA
RNAcentral lists this ribosomal RNA (494 nucleotides) under uncultured bacterium. Its description in RNAcentral is "partial 16S ribosomal RNA". It matches the Rfam family "Bacterial small subunit ribosomal RNA", at positions 28 to 523 of the family's 1533-position model. The record is from RNAcentral.